UUGGAGGGCAAGUCUGGUGCCAGCAGCCGCGGUAAUUCCAGCUCCAAUAGCGUAUAUUAAAGUUGUUGCAGUUAAAAAGCUCGUAGUUGAACUUCGGGGUUUACCCAUUGGUCAGGCUUAAUUGUCUGUACUGGUGAGAUGAAUCUCUACCUUCUGAGGAACUUUCAUGCCAUUUAUUUGGUGUGAUGGGAAAUCAGGACUGUUACUUUGAAAAAAUUAGAGUGUUUAAAGCAGGCUAACGUCUGAAUACAUUAGCAUGGAAUAAUGAAAUAGGACGGACUGAUUCUAUUUCGUUGGUUUCUAGGAUCACCGUAAUGAUUAAUAGGGAUAGUUGGGGGCAUUAGUAUUCAAUUGUCAGAGGUGAAAUUCUUGGAUUUAUUGAGGACUAACUACUGCGAAAGCAUUUGCCAAGGAUGUUUUCAUUAAUCAAGAACGAAAGUUAGGGGAUCGAAGACGAUCAGAUACCGUCGUAGUCUUAACCAUAAACUAUGCCGACUAGGGAUCGGACGAAGUUAAUUUUAUAAUGACGCGUUCGGCGCCUUACGGGAAAC
This 551-nucleotide ribosomal RNA is filed under the name uncultured Diversispora. RNAcentral describes it as "SSU rRNA". It matches the Rfam family "Eukaryotic small subunit ribosomal RNA", at positions 548 to 1098 of the family's 1831-position model. Lineage: Eukaryota; Fungi; Glomeromycota; Glomeromycetes; Diversisporales; Diversisporaceae. The record is from RNAcentral.